Long non-coding RNA from Callithrix jacchus (white-tufted-ear marmoset), 1896 nucleotides. RefSeq lists it as uncharacterized. NCBI's taxonomy places the organism in Eukaryota, Metazoa, Chordata, Mammalia, Primates, Cebidae. The record is from RefSeq and is a predicted model, not a curated record.
GGCAGUUUUCCCGCGAAGACACUAACACGCCCGGCCUGAAAAUGGAGGGAAGGGACGGAAGUCGGAGGCUGAGAGACUAGGGAACACUACCCCACACACACAAAAUGUGACGUGAGGAAAGCAACAAGAGGGAGAAGAGGAAAGAUGAGGCUACUGAGUGCGCCCAGAGCGUAUCCGGACCAAAGGGUUUACCACAUUGGCUGGUGUGUCCUUCUUUAUCUCCGAGUCCCCAGCCCCUGGCAAGUCCCUGGCGCCCUGUGAGCUCUGAUAAAAGUACGAUGAAUUGGAACCUGGAACUGGACUGACAGCUCCCAAGUUCAUAUCUCCGCCUCAUCUCCCUUUAAAGUCUAGACAUGUAAAUCCAUCUGCCUCCAUGCAUCCGCCCCCGCAGCACCUCCGUCGGAUGCCUAAUAGAUUCUCAGAUGUUUCAUGCCUUCCGUAUUGCUCCUUCCCCCAUCAUCUCAUGAGCAGGCAACUAACAGUCUCUGCCACUUCUCCUUACUGUGGACUUAGGCUCAAGUAUCACCUUUUCAAAGAGCUCUUCCUUUUCAAAUAGGUCUUGAACACCCUAAAACAGCUCCUUUAUCCUCUCUGCUCCCGGGCUUUUCCCAGCAGUCUGUUCUUUUGUUUUGCUUUACUUUUUUCUUCCUGAUACUUAUAACUACCUGAAAUUAUAUGUCUGCUGCCUGUCUCCCACACUCUUUGAGGACAGGGACCUAUUCUGUCUUGUUCUUCUCUGUAUCCCUAGUGGGAAAAACAGAAUUUGACACAUAGGAAAUACUCAGUAUUUAUCAAAUGAAUGAGCUCUUGUAACAAAAUCUUAGUCAUCAUGCCAAAUGCAAAUAUUCGUGGAACUCAAUCCUAUUCAUAAUUUCAAACUUAGCGGUGUCCCCACACACCUGUAAUCCCAGCUUCUUGGGAGGCUGAGGCAGGAGGAUCGCUUGAGGCCAGGAGCUGCCAGUCUGGGCAACAUACAGAGACCCUAUCUCAAAAUUUUUCUUUUUUGGUUUUGGGAUACAUGUGAAGAACACGCAAGAUUGUUGCAUAGGUACACACAUGGCAGCGUGAUUUGCUGCCUUCCUCCCCUUCACCUAUUCAAAGAUUCUUAAAAUAUAAACAAAUUUUUAAAAAUAUAAAGAAUACCAACACUAAAUCUAUUCUGCAACCAACCCCAACUUUGUCCAUAGAUUAUGGUCAUUGGUCCUACCCCCUUCACACACACACACACAUACACACACAGUGAUGGUCCAGAUUCCAUAUGAUAUAGGUGGGGCUUUGGCAUGAUAAUCCCAUUGGAAGGUGGUCCUGAAGGUUUACUUUGCCUGUAAAUUUACAAAACAUUAAGAAAAUGUCCACUAUCCAUUUGAAAGAAGGGAGACUGAUGGAGGAGAUGGCACUAAAGGUCCCAGGCUUCCUCUUAGUACCCCCACCUCUUUUAUCUGCCUAAUCCCCAGACCACAAACCUGGGAAAUUAUUGACUCCACCCUCUAUCUAAUUUACUGAGCACAAGUAAUUUUGUGUCUAAUUUACUGAGCACAAGUAAUUUUGCCUCCAAAUAUUUCAUCCAUUCUUCUUCACUUACCAUAGCAUCUGCUCUGUUUUAGGUCCCUUCAUCAUCCUAACUAUUGCAAAAACCUCCUGAAUGGUCUCUCUGGCCAGAGUUUCUUCUCUAUCCCAGCCAUGUACCCUACAAGUGCUGCCAUGAUCUUUCUUGAGUGGAUAUUCUAGGCUGUUUGGGUCCGGCUCCAGAUCCUGCUCCUUCUGACACUCUUUUGUAUUCCCCACCCCAGGGUCCCACAUCACACUCUAAAUAAGUAAUUCCAGUCUGGCUCAUAUGUUUUAUUUGCUUAGCUACUUGUAUGUCCUCACAUUAAAUAAACGGUGAGCUUCUCAAGA